AUAGUUUUGAACUGGCUCAGAUUGAACGCUGGCGGCAGGCCUAACACAUGCAAGUCGAGCGGUAGCACAGAGAGCUUGCUCUCGGGUGACGAGCGGCGGACGGGUGAGUAAUGUCUGGGAAACUGCCUGAUGGAGGGGGAUAACUACUGGAAACGGUAGCUAAUACCGCAUAAUGUCGCAAGACCAAAGUGGGGGACCUUCGGGCCUCAUGCCAUCAGAUGUGCCCAGAUGGGAUUAGCUAGUAGGUGGGGUAACGGCUCACCUAGGCGACGAUCCCUAGCUGGUCUGAGAGGAUGACCAGCCACACUGGAACUGAGACACGGUCCAGACUCCUACGGGAGGCAGCAGUGGGGAAUAUUGCACAAUGGGCGCAAGCCUGAUGCAGCCAUGCCGCGUGUGUGAAGAAGGCCUUCGGGUUGUAAAGCACUUUCAGCGGGGAGGAAGGCGUUAAGGUUAAUAACCUUGGCGAUUGACGUUACCCGCAGAAGAAGCACCGGCUAACUCCGUGCCAGCAGCCGCGGUAAUACGGAGGGUGCAAGCGUUAAUCGGAAUUACUGGGCGUAAAGCGCACGCAGGCGGUCUGUCAAGUCGGAUGUGAAAUCCCCGGGCUCAACCUGGGAACUGCAUUCGAAACUGGCAGGCUAGAGUCUUGUAGAGGGGGGUAGAAUUCCAGGUGUAGCGGUGAAAUGCGUAGAGAUCUGGAGGAAUACCGGUGGCGAAGGCGGCCCCCUGGACAAAGACUGACGCUCAGGUGCGAAAGCGUGGGGAGCAAACAGGAUUAGAUACCCUGGUAGUCCACGCCGUAAACGAUGUCGAUUUGGAGGUUGUGCCCUUGAGGCGUGGCUUCCGGAGCUAACGCGUUAAAUCGACCGCCUGGGGAGUACGGCCGCAAGGUUAAAACUCAAAUGAAUUGACGGGGGCCCGCACAAGCGGUGGAGCAUGUGGUUUAAUUCGAUGCAACGCGAAGAACCUUACCUGGUCUUGACAUCCACAGAACUUUCCAGAGAUGGAUUGGUGCCUUCGGGAACUGUGAGACAGGUGCUGCAUGGCUGUCGUCAGCUCGUGUUGUGAAAUGUUGGGUUAAGUCCCGCAACGAGCGCAACCCUUAUCCUUUGUUGCCAGCGGUCCGGCCGGGAACUCAAAGGAGACUGCCAGUGAUAAACUGGAGGAAGGUGGGGAUGACGUCAAGUCAUCAUGGCCCUUACGACCAGGGCUACACACGUGCUACAAUGGCAUAUACAAAGAGAAGCGACCUCGCGAGAGCAAGCGGACCUCAUAAAGUAUGUCGUAGUCCGGAUUGGAGUCUGCAACUCGACUCCAUGAAGUCGGAAUCGCUAGUAAUCGUAGAUCAGAAUGCUACGGUGAAUACGUUCCCGGGCCUUGUACACACCGCCCGUCACACCAUGGGAGUGGGUUGCAAAAGAAGUAGGUAGCUUAACCUUCGGGAG
RNAcentral lists this ribosomal RNA (1448 nucleotides) under Klebsiella pneumoniae. RNAcentral's name for it is "bacterial SSU rRNA". It matches the Rfam family "Bacterial small subunit ribosomal RNA". Lineage: Bacteria; Pseudomonadati; Pseudomonadota; Gammaproteobacteria; Enterobacterales; Enterobacteriaceae. The record is from RNAcentral.